RNAcentral lists this ribosomal RNA (585 nucleotides) under uncultured bacterium. RNAcentral describes it as "partial 16S ribosomal RNA". It matches the Rfam family "Bacterial small subunit ribosomal RNA", at positions 355 to 1375 of the family's 1533-position model. The record is from RNAcentral.
UGGGGAAUUUUGGACAAUGGGCGAAAGCCUGAUCCAGCAAUGCCGCGUGUGUGAAGAAGGCCUUCGGGUUGUAAAGCACUUUUGUCCGGAAAGAAAUCCUUGGCUCUAAUACAGUCGGGGGAUGACGGUACCGGAAGAAUAAGCACCGGCUAACUACGUGCCAGCAACCGCGGUAAUACGUAGGGUGCAAGCGUUAAUCGGAAUUACUGGGCGUAAAGCGUGCGCAGGCGGUUUGCUAAGACCGAUGUGAAAUCCCCGGGCUCAACCUGGGAACUGCAUUGGUGACUGGCAGGCUAGAGUAUGGCAGAGGGGGGUAGAAUUCCACGUGUAGCAGUGAAAUGCGUAGAGAUGUGGAGGAAUACCGAUGGCGAAGGCAGCCCCCUGGGCCAAUACUGACGCUCAUGCACGAAAGCGUGGGGAGCAAACAGGAUUAGAUACCCUGGUAGUCCACGCCCUAAACGAUGUCAACUAGUUGUUGGGGAUUCAUUUCCUUAGUAACGUAGCUAACGCGUGAAGUUGACCGCCUGGGGAGUACGGUCGCAAGAUUAAAACUCAAAUGAAUUGACGGGGUCAUAGCUGUUUCCU